ACCCGGGCCAUGCUCAGUACGGCGAGUGAAGCGGCAAGAGCUCAAAUUUGAAAGCUGGCUCCUUCGGGGUCCGCAUUGUAAUUUGCAGAGGAUGCUUCGGGUGCGGCCCCUGUCUAAGUGCCCUGGAACGGGCCGUCAGAGAGGGUGAGAAUCCCGUCUGGGAUGGGGUGUCCGCGCCCGUGUGAAGCUCCUUCGACGAGUCGAGUUGUUUGGGAAUGCAGCUCUAAAUGGGUGGUAAAUUUCAUCUAAAGCUAAAUACUGGCCGGAGACCGAUAGCGCACAAGUAGAGUGAUCGAAAGAUGAAAAGCACUUUGAAAAGAGAGUUAAAAAGCACGUGAAAUUGUUGAAAGGGAAGCGCUUGCGACCAGACUCGCCUCCAGGGUUCAGCCGGCAUUCGUGCCGGUGUACUUCCCUGGGGGCGGGCCAGCGUCGGUUUGGGCGGCCGGUCAAAGGCUCCCGGAAUGUAGUGCCCUCCGGGGCACCUUAUAGCCGGGAGUGCAAUGCGGCCAGCCUGGACCGAGGAACGCGCUUCGGCACGGACGCUGGCAUAAUGGUCGUAAACGACCCGUCUUGAAACACAGGAACCAAAA
This 590-nucleotide ribosomal RNA is filed under the name Coprinopsis cinerea. RNAcentral's name for it is "partial large subunit ribosomal RNA". It matches the Rfam family "Eukaryotic large subunit ribosomal RNA", at positions 64 to 664 of the family's 3401-position model. The record is from RNAcentral. Lineage: Eukaryota; Fungi; Basidiomycota; Agaricomycetes; Agaricales; Psathyrellaceae.